This 1423-nucleotide ribosomal RNA is filed under the name Synechococcus sp. EW15. RNAcentral's name for it is "16S ribosomal RNA". It matches the Rfam family "Bacterial small subunit ribosomal RNA". The record is from RNAcentral. Lineage: Bacteria; Bacillati; Cyanobacteriota; Cyanophyceae; Synechococcales; Synechococcaceae.
AGAGUUUGAUCCUGGCUCAGGAUGAACGCUGGCGGCGUGCUUAACACAUGCAAGUCGAACGAACCUUCGGGUUAGUGGCGGACGGGUGAGUAACGCGUGGGAAUCUGCCCUCAGGAGGGGGAUAACGGCCGGAAACGGCCGCUAAUACCCCAUAUGCCGAGAGGUGAAAUGAAUUUCGCCUGAGGAUGAGCCCGCGUCUGAUUAGCUAGUUGGUGUGGUAAUGGCGCACCAAGGCGACGAUCAGUAGCUGGUCUGAGAGGAUGAUCAGCCACACUGGGACUGAGACACGGCCCAGACUCCUACGGGAGGCAGCAGUGGGGAAUUUUCCGCAAUGGGCGAAAGCCUGACGGAGCAACGCCGCGUGAGGGAUGAAGGCCUCUGGGCUGUAAACCUCUUUUCUCAAGGAAGAAGACAUGACGGUACUUGAGGAAUAAGCCACGGCUAAUUCCGUGCCAGCAGCCGCGGUAAUACGGGAGUGGCAAGCGUUAUCCGGAAUUAUUGGGCGUAAAGCGUCCGCAGGCGGCCUUGUAAGUCUGUCGUUAAAGCGUGGAGCUUAACUCCAUUUCAGCGAUGGAAACUACAAGGCUUGAGUGUGGUAGGGGCAGAGGGAAUUCCCGGUGUAGCGGUGAAAUGCGUAGAUAUCGGGAAGAACACCAGUGGCGAAGGCGCUCUGCUGGGCCAUAACUGACGCUCAUGGACGAAAGCCAGGGGAGCGAAAGGGAUUAGAUACCCCUGUAGUCCUGGCCGUAAACGAUGAACACUAGGUGUCGGGGGAAUCGACCCCCUCGGUGUCGUAGCUAACGCGUUAAGUGUUCCGCCUGGGGAGUACGCACGCAAGUGUGAAACUCAAAGGAAUUGACGGGGGCCCGCACAAGCGGUGGAGUAUGUGGUUUAAUUCGAUGCAACGCGAAGAACCUUACCAGGGUUUGACAUCCUGCGAAUCCCUUGGAAACGGGGGAGUGCCUUCGGGAGCGCAGAGACAGGUGGUGCAUGGCUGUCGUCAGCUCGUGUCGUGAGAUGUUGGGUUAAGUCCCGCAACGAGCGCAACCCACGUCUUUAGUUGCCAGCAUUCAGUUGGGCACUCUAGAGAGACCGCCGGUGAUAAACCGGAGGAAGGUGUGGAUGACGUCAAGUCAUCAUGCCCCUUACAUCCUGGGCUACACACGUACUACAAUGCUACGGACAAAGGGUUGCAAGCUCGCGAGAGUUAGCUAAUCCCAUAAACCGUGGCUCAGUUCAGAUCGUAGGCUGCAACUCGCCUACGUGAAGGAGGAAUCGCUAGUAAUCGCAGGUCACAUACUGCGGUGAAUACGUUCCCGGGCCUUGUACACACCGCCCGUCACACCAUGGAAUUGGCCAUGCCCGAAGUCUUACUCCAACCCUGUGGAGAAGGACCCCCAAGGUGGGCUAUGACUGGGGUGAA